This is a long non-coding RNA of Etheostoma cragini (Arkansas darter), 340 nucleotides long. RefSeq lists it as uncharacterized. Lineage: Eukaryota; Metazoa; Chordata; Actinopteri; Perciformes; Percidae. The record is from RefSeq and is a predicted model, not a curated record. The transcript is spliced from 2 exons.
ACGGCUCGUGGCGCCUGUCCAGCAGUGUAGUGUGUUCAAAAACAAUAGAGUAAAAAUACUGUAUUUUCCCUCCGAGAGAACAAUAAAGGUAUUUAAUCUUUACCAAGGAUGAAGGUUGCAAUGGAGGUGGUGAAACCGGCUGACUGGAUGCAGCAGCAGAGCUCACUGAGGCUGAGGCUGAGGCGGAGGCUGAGGCUGAGGCUGCCUGAGAAGUCGGUUGGACCGGCUGUCCUCCACAGAGCCUCUGAUCCCUCUCGGCUGCUAUGGAUUCCCUGAUGAGCUUCAGCUGCUCCACUGAUGCAGACUUGGAGAACACGAGAUGCGUCUCAGCCUGGAAAAA